AAACAGCUGGAUGAAUUCCAGUGGAAGCCGACUUGACCUUCAGCUACCAGCCAGUGACCCCAGCUCACACUGUGUCCGGAAUUGGUAGGUUCUUGGUCUCGCUGACUUCUGGAAUGAAGCCACCAACCCUCACGGGGGACGCUGCUCUGCUGGACUCACUCCAUUCCCAGUGUCCUUUGCCUUGUUACCAAUGGGAGGAGAACUGGCUUUAGUGAAGGUUGGAACUCUCCAACUCACUCACUAAGCCAUCAUUCCUUAUCUGACACCCCAGAAGUCUGAUACCAGAAAUACGAUCAAAAAGCUAAAGUUCCUAAAAGACUGUCUCAGCGUAAUGUCAAGGGUCCUGAUGAAAUGGCUAUGACAAGCAAUAUAUCAGAGUUAGUGGAAUGCCUAUGGUGGAGUUGCCUGCUUAAGAACACCCUGUAGGUGGGUCGAUACAACUAGCACCAAUACUUCUCUGUCAUAACAUCCCACUUAAACAAUCAGUUGACAAAUAAGAAGACCUUAAUGAUUUAGCAUUUUAUUAGCAAAUUGCAGUGGCUGCUUGCAAGACAACUUUGAACUGUAGUUGGAAAUUUGAAGCGGGUGAUUUGGGCCACUUUGCUUUUUGGCAACUACCCACUGACAGCAUGUUACUUUUGCUUCCUUUGUCAAGCACAGAA
Long non-coding RNA from Gorilla gorilla gorilla (western lowland gorilla), 662 nucleotides. RefSeq lists it as uncharacterized. NCBI's taxonomy places the organism in Eukaryota, Metazoa, Chordata, Mammalia, Primates, Hominidae. The transcript has 3 exons. The record is from RefSeq and is a predicted model, not a curated record.